AAUCAACGCUGGCGGCGUGCCUCAGACAUGCAAGUCGAACGAUUAAACUUCCCUUCGGGGAAGAUAUAAAGUGGCGCACGGGUGAGUAACACGUAAGUAAUCUGCCCUCGAGUGGGGAAUAACAACCGGAAACGGUUGCUAAUACCGCAUAAUGCAGCGGCACCUAAUGGUGACAGUUGUUAAAGGAGCAAUCCGCUUGAGGAGGAGCUUGCGGCAGAUUAGCUAGUUGGUAAGGUAAUGGCUUACCAAGGCUACGAUCUGUAACCGGUCUAAGAGGACGGUCGGUCACACUGACAAUGAAUAACGGGUCAGACUCCUACGGGAGGCAGCGGUCGGGAAUUUUGGGCAAUGGGCGAAAGCCUGACCCAGCAACGCCGCGUGAAGGAUGAAGUAUUUCGGUAUGUAAACUUCGAAAGAAUGGGAAGAAUCAAUGACGGUACCAUUUAUAAGGUCCGGCUAACUACGUGCCAGCCGCCGCCGUAA
RNAcentral lists this ribosomal RNA (483 nucleotides) under uncultured bacterium. Its description in RNAcentral is "partial 16S ribosomal RNA". It matches the Rfam family "Bacterial small subunit ribosomal RNA", at positions 32 to 523 of the family's 1533-position model. The record is from RNAcentral.